Long non-coding RNA from Corvus hawaiiensis (hawaiian crow), 978 nucleotides. RefSeq lists it as uncharacterized. The transcript is spliced from 3 exons. The record is from RefSeq and is a predicted model, not a curated record. Lineage: Eukaryota; Metazoa; Chordata; Aves; Passeriformes; Corvidae.
AAUGGCAAACCAGGAGUUUAAACUGUUUUCCCUCGCAAAUCUAGGCCCCCAGAUAGAGCCAAAUGUAAUCCAUCUAAACAGGAGCCGCGCUCCCAUGAGUAAGAUUUACUUACAAAAAGUAACUGUCACAGAGUCUACUCUUCCCUACAACUCUUCCUGUGCUUUCCCCCACGCUUAAUGACUGAGGGUUGGGCUGCAAUAAUUUUAUUUUGUCUCCUCUAAAUGCAGGAAACCAAUUGCUGGUGAUGGGCUUAUAAAAGCGCUUCAGCUGGCAGCCUCCAAAAGGAGGUGUAUCCAUGGCAGCUUGGAACUCUCAUGUGACGAGUGAGUGUGUGCUCUAAGGACACAAGUGGAACAUAUCUCUUACCCUGGCAGGGCCAUAGGACUGUUCAGAGCACUGAAUAGGGGUGUAUCCAGCGGCUGUGCUGGUCUUUGGGUCAUACUCAGGUGAGGGAUGAGCUGCUGGGGUUUGGGCUGCAAAGUGUUGCCAGUUCACUUAACUCUCUGGUGCUUCCCUCGUACCCCAACAUCAGCAAUUAUGUGAGUUUGCAUUCUUGGUUUUUGUUGGAAAAAUUGUAGUCCUCAUUCUUAAGAGAAAAACUUUCAUUAUUGUAUCUUAAAAGUUGAUUUUAAAUUUCUUUUAAUAUAGAAGUACAUAAUUUUCAUGUGCAUGGUUGUGGAGUCUGUCUCGUUGCUCUCAUCAUUGCAUCUGCACUUUUUACACCGCUGGAUUUGGAAAUGCUGACACUACUAAGGUUCACACCAAGGCCUCCAGUUUGAAAAAUGUAUGUGUGCUCCUGCACCUAAUGUAUAUGCAUAUUCAGUGUGACUGCAUAUGGAAAUGGAGCAUCCAUGCCAAGAGUUUUCCAGCCAAGAGGCUUUUUGCAUGUGUCUGCCUUAGAAAGGCACCGGAAGGGAAGGAAAAUGAGGUUAUCCCAUAAAAUAAUCUACUACCAUUUGGUAAGGGAGCAGGAACAG